GCUGGCGUAGCUCAGUUGGUAGAGCACUUCACUCGUAAUGAAGGGGUCGGCGGUUCGAUUCCGCCCGCCAGCU
RNAcentral lists this transfer RNA (73 nucleotides) under Candidatus Omnitrophota bacterium. Its description in RNAcentral is "tRNA-Thr". It matches the Rfam family "tRNA". Rfam says of the family: Transfer RNA (tRNA) molecules are approximately 80 nucleotides in length. Their secondary structure includes four short double-helical elements and three loops (D, anti-codon, and T loops). Lineage: Bacteria; Pseudomonadati; Candidatus Omnitrophota. The record is from RNAcentral.